AAUGGCCUAACGGCUGAACCAGCAACUUGGGUGAACGUAAAAGCAUUUUGUUUAUUGAAAAAUAAACGAGAUGUAUUUUUUUUUUGGCUUCAGCCAAACUAUUUUUAGUAUAAUAUAUACUAGAAAUAGUAAGAUCCUAUAAGAUCUUUUUUGAAAGCUUCGGCUCUAAGCGAUUUAUUCGCAUAAAGUUCUAUAUAGAAUACAGAUGAUGACUAUUUUCUAUAUAUAAGUCUUGACCAAAACACGUGCCAGCAGUCGCGGCAACACGGGAAAAGGCGAGUGUUAUUCAUCUUUAAUAGGUUUAAAGGGUACCUAGACAGCAAAUUUAGCCCCCAUUGAAUUGGAUCGGUACAUUUUUGCUAGAGUUUUAUGUGAGAGGAAUUUAGUACUAACAGAGUAGAGAUGAAAUUUUUUGAUACUGUAGGGCACUGAUAACAGCGAAGGCAGACCUUUAUGUAAAAACUGACGUUGAGGGACGAAGGCUUGGGUAACAAACAGGAUUAGGUACCCUAAUAGUCCAUGCAGACAAUGAUGAGUGCCAUAGAUUAGGAUAUCUUUGAUCUAUAAAUGAAAGUGUAAGCAUUCCACCUUAAGAGUAAUGCGGCAACGCAGGAACUGAAAUCAUUAGACCGUUUCUGAUACCAGUAGUGAAGUAUGUUGUUCAAUUCGAUGAUCCACGAAAAAUCUUACCACAAUUUGAAUAUUUUAACCACCAAAGGAAAGUCUUUUUUAUUAAAAAGAUGAAAGUGUUAAUUAUACAGGCGUUGCAUGGCUGUCUUCAGUUGAUGUCGUGAGAUGCAGGUUAGCUCCAUUAAAUCAACGUGAACCCAUACCUUAUUUUAACUGGUUAACCAGUUUACAUAGGGUAGUUCCCCGGCAUAUCGGACAGAUAACAGGGACAAAGACAAGUCCUCAUGGCCCGAACAUUGUGGGCUAUAGACGUGCCACAUAUACCUUGACAAAGGGAAGCUAAAAUGCGAAUAAUAAGCUAAUCUCUAAAAAUAGGUUAAAACAA
RNAcentral lists this ribosomal RNA (1015 nucleotides) under Arthonia sp. Its description in RNAcentral is "SSU rRNA". It matches the Rfam family "Bacterial small subunit ribosomal RNA", at positions 370 to 1294 of the family's 1533-position model. Lineage: Eukaryota; Fungi; Ascomycota; Arthoniomycetes; Arthoniales; Arthoniaceae. The record is from RNAcentral.